UGACUGUCCCCCAGCCCGACACCCGUAAAGGGUCUGUGCUGAGGAGGAUUAGUAAAAGAGGAAGGAAUGCCUCUUGCAGUUGAGACAAGAGGAAGGCAUCUGUCUCCUGCCCGUCCCUGGGCAAUGGAAUGUCUCGGUAUAAAACCCGGUUGUAUGCUCCAUCUACUGAGAUAGGGAAAAACCGCCUUAGGGCUGGAGGUGGGACCUGCGGGCAGCAAUACGGUUUUGUAAAGCAUUGAGAUGUUUAUGUGUAUGCAUAUCUAAAAGCACAGCACUUAAUCCUUUACAUUCUCUAUGAUGCAAAGACCUUUGUUCACGUGUUUGUCUGCUGACCCUCUCCCCACAAUUGUCUUGUGACCCUGACACAUCCCCCUCUUCGAGAAACACCC
This 389-nucleotide long non-coding RNA is filed under the name Homo sapiens (human). Its description in RNAcentral is "LHRI_LNC649.1". The record is from RNAcentral. Lineage: Eukaryota; Metazoa; Chordata; Mammalia; Primates; Hominidae.